RNAcentral lists this transfer RNA (76 nucleotides) under Paludihabitans sp. Its description in RNAcentral is "tRNA-Gln". It matches the Rfam family "tRNA". Rfam says of the family: Transfer RNA (tRNA) molecules are approximately 80 nucleotides in length. Their secondary structure includes four short double-helical elements and three loops (D, anti-codon, and T loops). RNAcentral also lists the same sequence under 1 other name. Lineage: Bacteria; Bacillati; Bacillota; Clostridia; Eubacteriales; Oscillospiraceae. The record is from RNAcentral.
UGGGGUAUCGCCAAGCGGUAAGGCAGUAGACUCUGAAUCUACCAUCCCGAUGGUUCGAAUCCAUCUACCCCAGCCA